This 749-nucleotide long non-coding RNA is filed under the name Ananas comosus (pineapple). RNAcentral's name for it is "long non-coding RNA (ACOM_LNC041788)". Lineage: Eukaryota; Viridiplantae; Streptophyta; Magnoliopsida; Poales; Bromeliaceae. The record is from RNAcentral.
CUUUUUAUAAACUGUGCUUAAUGCUAGACGAGCCCGUUAUUGUUGGGUGAGUAGUGGAGUGGGUGAUGGGAUAAUGGGUGGUUAAUGAAUGGUGGAGUAAUGGGAUAGUUAAUAGAUAGUGGAGUAAUGAGGAGUUUGGAAAGUUUGUUUUAGAAUUGAACGGGUUCAUCAAAUGAGAUAAUACUGAGCAGUGGGAAGUUGUCAGGAUUUCUUUUUAAUCUCUCUCUCUUGGCAAGCCCAACAUUAAUUGAAUAUAGGUCCAAAUCUGCUGUAUUGAAAGGUGCCACCCAUUAGUAAUUUAUGCACGAACCUAAAUAUUGGCCCAAUAAAAUAUAUCUUACAUAUAUCUUGUUUGUAUGUCUCCUUUAUGGGCUAGCUCAAAAUUUGGCCCAAUAAGUAAUUUUCAUCUAUAAUGUUCUAUAAAGGGCCCAAAAUUAUGUAUAAUAAAAUGUCCCCUUUUUUAUUUUUUAUUUUUCAUCUUUUGAAAAGCUGAUUCAAAAGUGGUUCAACAAUGAGGUGAAUUGAUCUUUUUACCCCUCUUCAAUUAACAGUUGGGACUUUUGAAGAAACAUAUCUGUGAUGACAAAAAGGUCAUUUCACUUAUAAAAUAGACAGUGCUUUAACGGUAACAAACCAAAGGAACAUAUUUAAAAUUAUUAUGACUUUUGUAAGGACAAUAUAUAAAAGUUGAAUUUUAUAAGGAUAUGUUUGUAAUUCACUAUAUUUGCAGGUACUUUUAUAAAAUUAAC